AAUGUGGUGUCUGCUUCAGCCCUGCUGUCUCAGGCUGAAUUAUCAGAGCUGCAGAGGUGACCAGAGGGCUGGAUCAGCUUCCAGGCAGGGGACAGGGAGACACACAGAGACUCUUCUAGAACAGAGGACCUAACUGUUUUAAUGAGGGCUUGGACAACAGCAAUAAAAUUGGAGACAAUUCAGGAAUCCUGUUCCUGGUUGUAAGAGAGGAGCAGCUGCCACAUUUGAGUGAGCCCUUUGAAUCGCCAGGCAUCAGCUCAAGAAGUGGAGGAAUAAGGAAGGUACAGCUGUUCCCAAAUAUAUAGAAAUCUGCUGAAUUUUAUGAUCUUUGAUCACCUCAAAGAACCAUCUACACAAAAAUUUUACAGACCCCAUCUCUUAUGUGCACAAGUUUGUAUGCACAGGAGUGUGGAACCAGUGGCAAGUUCUGAGAUCUCACUGCUCUCUCAGUGCCACAGCAGCAGACAGCAGGAGGGACAGUGACAGUCAUCUCCAGGCCCCAAGAGAUUCAGAGCUGCCAGCACCCAUCAUGACCCUAGGAGAAGGAAGGAAGACCAAGCAGUCUGUUACCUGUGACCAGCCACUCUGGGAUGUUUGAUAAUGCACCACACUCUGCUUUAGGGUUCCCAGCAGCAGAAGAUGGGUACUGUGGUCAUGCAGUAGAUGGCAUGGUUGAAGCCACCUCUGCUGCUACACAUCUCUACAGUCAGCAGGUUACCUCUGCACCACUGCCUUCUCAUGGGAUUGUGGACAUCCAGUGCUGGUGCCUGGAGGAACAUUUGUCAAGAUGAUACAAACAUGAUUUAUGCUCCUGCCAGAUCAAGAGGAACAAAUAAAUGUGCAAUGGGACAAAUAAAUAGGAAAGGACUUGGGGCUGCUCCGCCAGGAUAGCCUAAAGUAGUAAAGCACAUGAGAAGCCCCUCAGGGCAGAGGGCAGAGUGGAGUGCCCAGGCCCUGCUUGAAAGCCUGAGAUGAUGGGGAAGGGUGACAUUCUAUUAGUAAACCACUAAUGACCAGCUCUUUGGCAUUUCCUGAAAACUACAGUAGGUUGGCUGGUCCCCGAGGAGCACUGUGAUGUCAGCAGCCAGAAAUCCUGUGGAACCGGCCAGACUGGCAAAUGCAUGAAAGUCAGCUAAUCUGCUGUUUUAUCACUCCUCCCCCCCAAAUCCCCAUCCACCUCAGGCAUCAGAGGGAAGCUAAUUGACUUGAGCUUCCUUUUUGUGCUCAAACACCUUGGUUGACUUGGUUAUUUUCUUUCACUAUUUUUCAUACAAACAGAUGGGUUUCAAAGGCAGUGCUGGCACAGGUGUUAUGUGAUACAUAUCUGCCAAACAACCGGGGAGAGGCCUUGCUUCACCAGCUGCCUCUGAGUGAUCAGUUUUGCUGCCUCUCCCCACUAACUGGGGUCACAGUUACUGCUGGGAAAGGACAUCAGUUGUUGCUCACAUUCCCUCUUUUCCUUUACCCUCCAAAGCAGAGGAAAGUGGAGACUUUUGGGCAGCAGGGCCAAUGUGGAGUGGCUUUCCAGGGAAUGCAACCUUAGCAGGGACAUGGCACCAUUCCUCGGAGUGAUUUUGUAGUGAGAAGGGCAGGUGUCCGUGCAAAUAGCUUCCUGGAUGGGAGCUGACCCAGAAGGUGAGGUUCCCAUCUUCACCUUACCUGACCCAAUGAGUUUGACUCUGAUCCUCAUCCUCCUCCACCCUGCAGAUUUAUGGAUGGGCAUGCUGCCAGACUGUAUUUUCCCUCACCACUUAGGAGACACAGUAUAAACUUGGAGGCAAGUGGGAGGUGCUGAGCUCUUGCCUUGGCAGCAACUGGGACAACCCACUUCCUCAUCCCUGCCAUCUUACUGGUGUGAGAAAAUAGGAGCAGGUUGAAACAGAGCUCCUCAAAAGGGCCCCCAUUCUUAAAUGCCCAGGGAGUUUCAGGGAUCUGUGCAGGGAAGGAAGCUGUAGCCCUCUCCACUGGCCUGUGCCAGGGGCAUGCACUGAGCCAAGGACCAGCUGGGCAUCACCUGUGUCCCUGCACCAGACACCCAUGGAAGCAGCUCUCAAAAACCAGUCCAGGUCAAAGGACCUCUGUUGGACCCCAGAGGAACCACAUGGGGUCUUUCUGUGCUGUGGCCUGCUCUUCAGGUCCCUCCUGGGGAAAAAUUCCAGGCUGGGGGAGUAACUGGGGCAAAACCAAAAGGCUGAGGAAGCUGUACUGUAGAACACAUCAGGGUGUUUAUCAUGGUAAUGUAAAGAAGGGUCUGAAGGUCAUGCACAUGAAUAUUUGUAAGAGCAUUGUUGUUUCAUUUUGAUGUAGAACCACAGCAAUAAUAUCCAGCUGGAAUAAAUUGCUCCAAAAUUCA
Cyanistes caeruleus (blue tit) is the source of this 2353-nucleotide long non-coding RNA. RefSeq lists it as uncharacterized. The record is from RefSeq and is a predicted model, not a curated record. NCBI's taxonomy places the organism in Eukaryota, Metazoa, Chordata, Aves, Passeriformes, Paridae.